This 393-nucleotide ribosomal RNA is filed under the name Gongylonema nepalensis. RNAcentral's name for it is "partial 28S ribosomal RNA". Lineage: Eukaryota; Metazoa; Nematoda; Chromadorea; Rhabditida; Gongylonematidae. The record is from RNAcentral.
UGCAGAAGUUGCAAGCUACUGUGAUAGAGUUACCGCUGCACUUGGCUAAACUUUACAGCAAUAAGACAAUAAUAUUUAAAAUAGGUACUACAAUCUAAUAAGGAUAUAAAAAUGAAAUCAGUUAUUACUACUAUAAUCAGCGCUGCUGAUGCUGCUGGUCGUUUUCUGACUAGCUCAGAUCUUGAAUCAGUACAAGGAAAUAUUCAACGUGCAGGUGCAAGAUUAGAAGCAGCUGAGAAACUUGCAGAUAAUCAUGAAGCUGUUGUAAAAGAAGCAGGAGAUGCUUGUUUUACUAAAUAUUCAUACUUAAAAAAUUCAGGUGAAGCUGGAGACAGUCAAGAAAAAGUUAAUAAAUGUUAUAGAGAUAUAGAUCAUUAUAUGCGUCUAAUUAAC